Long non-coding RNA from Rattus norvegicus (Norway rat), 1344 nucleotides. RefSeq lists it as uncharacterized. NCBI's taxonomy places the organism in Eukaryota, Metazoa, Chordata, Mammalia, Rodentia, Muridae. The record is from RefSeq and is a predicted model, not a curated record.
UAGGCUUCCAGCUGCUGGUUGCCACCUUGCCCCCGUCUGGUGGCCGCUGUGGUACAUCUUGCUGGCUUGUCCGUUCAUUUCCUGCUCCUCCCCCACCUCCCCCAGGAACUUAGAAAGCCAAGGGCAGGUGUUUCUCCUCAUUUGCCUUGUUACAUUCCACACACCUAAGGCGGUACCUGGCUCCUGUUGACGUGAGUCUGGACCGCACGCCUCCAUAUGGCCUACACCAAGACUUCCUACUUCCCUCCUGAAAUCCCUUCUGUGAAGAGAGAUUUAUCAAGACGAUGUGAGGCACCUGUGAGUUCUGGCAGCGCAUCCCUGUGGCUUUCCCAUGCUCCUGCCUCAUGCGUACUGAAGUAAACUCUGAGACGUGAUUGAUGCCAGUGACCCCUUCCCCACAGGAUGGACUUCAGCACUCCAAUACCGCUAACAACAUAUCAUUAGCAUUCCUGAGAGUGAUAAUUCUAGCUGUAUCCUGAGUGAAUUCUCACGGUGACUGCGACUGUGUCUACAGCAGAAUCCUCAUUUCCAGAGAUGUUUGGGUUAUGCGUCUGUCAGGGUUUAUUUCCUAACCUACAAAGCCGACACUCCCGGGGAAGGUAUCUUCUUUUGAUAUUGCUUUUGAUAGAAAGUCGGACUUAUACUAUUUCCAAAGAAAUAUAAAAAGGCAGGCAAUUCAUGAUUUCAAGGAUAGCAGAUCCGUGGCUACCUUGUUUUUAAAAUCCCUUGAUCAGUUUCAUGAUGACCUUUUGUGGAUGGGAUCCUGGAGAAUUCUCUGCCUUUUUGGUGGUAUUCAGGGAGUGUUGGUUCCAACAAGAUGAAUCAACAUUGGCCUCCUUGUGUCCUGCCCUAUCCCCCUCCCUCCCUCCCAUGCAGCAAUGGCACUCCAAAUUUUAUUUUUUUUAUGCUGGUUAGACACAUUCCCUUCACCUCCCUUCCCAUCCACCAUAAUAGAAUGCUCUAGCCAUGUGCCUUGAUGUCGAAGGUCAGACGGGACACACCUGUUGGACACAUCAGUCUUGCCAAAUACGAACCACAGAGGAAAACGAAGAAGACAGAUAGCAAACUGUUCCCUGGUAUAAGGAAGGGCUGUCUUAGCUUCAGACUGAGAGGUCAAGGAACUCGUCAUUGGAAGCUAAGCAGUCCUUCACAAGAAUGUGUGCUUGAGUGUCAGAUAUGGUACAUCCAUUCGGAGGCGACACAGCUAUGAGCCAUGGGGGCGGGGGGACACCGCAAGACCCAAAAUAAUAAUUUCACUGUGAAUCACGGGAAGCUUCGCUCUCGAAAUAAAAUCUUCCCAGCCGUGAUGUCAUAUAAUUACUAAUUAAAGCAAUUAUGUCCUCA